RNAcentral lists this ribosomal RNA (496 nucleotides) under uncultured bacterium. Its description in RNAcentral is "partial 16S ribosomal RNA". It matches the Rfam family "Bacterial small subunit ribosomal RNA", at positions 28 to 507 of the family's 1533-position model. The record is from RNAcentral.
GAUGAACGCUGGCGGCGUGCCUAAUACAUGCAAGUCGAGCGAACAGACGAGGAGCUUGCUCCUCUGACGUUAGCGGCGGACGGGUGAGUAACACGUGGAUAACCUACCUAUAGGCUGGGAUAACUUCGGGAAACCGGAGCUAAUACCGGAUAAUAUAUUGAACCGCAUGGUUCAAUAGUGAAAGACGGUUUUGCUGUCACUUAUAGAUGGAUCCGCGCCGCAUUAGCUAGUUGGUAAGGUAACGGCUUACCAAGGCAACGAUGCGUAGCCGACCUGAGAGGGUGAUCGGCCACACUGGAACUGAGACACGGUCCAGACUCCUACGGGAGGCAGCAGUAGGGAAUCUUCCGCAAUGGGCGAAAGCCUGACGGAGCAACGCCGCGUGAGUGAUGAAGGUCUUCGGAUCGUAAAACUCUGUUAUUAGGGAAGAACAAAUGUGUAAGUAACUAUGCACGUCUUGACGGUACCUAAUCAGAAAGCCACGGCUAACUACGUG